CAGCAGCCGCGGUAAUACGGGGGUGGCCGACGUUACCCGGUAUACUUGGGCGUAAAGCGUCCGCAGGCGGAUGUAAGAAGAUGUAAAUUUUGCAGCUCAACUGUAAACCCAUAUCUUAAACUGGCAAACUAGAGUAUUGGAGAGGUGCGUAGAAUUCUGUGUGUAGGGGUAAAAUCCGUAGAUACACAGAGGAAUACCAAAAGCGAAGGCAGCGCACUGGCCAAUUACUGACGCUCAGGGACGAAAGCGUGGGUAGCGAACGGGAUUAGAUACCCCGGUAGUCCACGCCGUAAACGAUGGAUACUAGGUGUUGGGAGACUCGACCCUCUCAGUGCCGACGCUAACGCAUUAAGUAUCCCGCCUGGGGAGUACGGUCGCAAGAUUAAAACUCAAAGGAAUAGACGGGGACCCACACAAGCGGUGGAGCAUGUGGUUUAAUUCGAUAAUAAGCGAGGAACCUUUACCCAGACUUGACAUCCCGAGAAUUUUCUAGAAAUAGAAAAGUGCCGCAAGGAACUCGGUGACAGGUGCUGCAUGGUUGUCGUCAGCUCGUGCCUUGAGGUGUUCGGUUAAGUCCGUUAACGAGCGCAACCCUUGUCCUGUGUUGUAUAUUUCACAGGAGACUGCCGAUUUUAAAUCGGAGGAAGGUAAGGAUGACGUCAAAUCAGCAUGGCCCUUAUGUCUGGGGCUACACACGUGCUACAAUGGCUGGUACAGAGGGCAGCAAACCCGUAAGGGGGAGCCAAUCCUUAAAACCAGUCUCAGUUCGGAUUGAGGGCUGCAACUCGCCCUCAUGAAGUUGGAAUCGCUAGUAAACGCGUAUCAGCAAUGACGCGUUGAAUAUGUUCCUGGGUCUUGUACUCACCGCCCGUCACAUCACGAAAGGUGGGGGCACCCGAAGUACCGUUAACUUUCGAGUGCGGUCCUAAGGUGAAACCACUGAUUGGGAUGAAGUCGUAACAAGGUAACCGUA
RNAcentral lists this ribosomal RNA (973 nucleotides) under uncultured Microgenomates group bacterium. RNAcentral's name for it is "bacterial SSU rRNA". It matches the Rfam family "Bacterial small subunit ribosomal RNA", at positions 509 to 1504 of the family's 1533-position model. The record is from RNAcentral.